UGGGGAAUAUUGGACAAUGGGGGCAACCCUGAUCCAGCCAUGCCGCGUGAGUGAAGAAGGCCCUAGGGUUGUAAAGCUCUUUCAGGUGUGAGGAUGAUGACAGUAGCACCAGAAGAAGCCCCGGCUAACUUCGUGCCAGCAGCCGCGGUAAUACGAAGGGGGCUAGCGUUGUUCGGAUUUACUGGGCGUAAAGGGCGUGUAGGCGGACGAUCAAGCUAGGGGUGAAAGCCCAGGGCCCAACCCUGGAACUGCCCUUAGAACUGGUUGUCUAGAAUCCGUAAGGGGAGUGUGGAAUUCCUAGUGUAGAGGUGAAAUUCGUAGAUAUUAGGAAGAACACCAGUGGCGAAGGC
RNAcentral lists this ribosomal RNA (350 nucleotides) under uncultured bacterium. RNAcentral's name for it is "bacterial SSU rRNA". It matches the Rfam family "Bacterial small subunit ribosomal RNA", at positions 355 to 722 of the family's 1533-position model. The record is from RNAcentral.